This 245-nucleotide long non-coding RNA is filed under the name Elaeis guineensis (African oil palm). RNAcentral's name for it is "long non-coding RNA (EGUI_LNC042661)". The record is from RNAcentral. Lineage: Eukaryota; Viridiplantae; Streptophyta; Magnoliopsida; Arecales; Arecaceae.
UUUCUUUGAGUGUUAUAAAUUCCCUGUAGGGCAGUGGUUUGAGACUAUGGGCUGGAAACAUUUUUGUUGUUUGAAUCUACCAAUGUAUUCUCACAUUGUUAGGGAGUUUUAUGCAAAUCUGAGAGGAGGAUCAAGUGAGAUUGUGUCAUUAGUCAAAGGAGUGCAAUUUGAGCUCUCAAAUGAUAGAUUGGCCUAGAUCUUUAGUUUGCCUAAGCAUUGGACUGUAUCGGAUAGGUUGGCUGACG